GACGAACGCUGGCGGCAUGCCUAACACAUGCAAGUCGAACGGAGUUUCUCAAAUGGAUCCCUUCGGGGUGAAGCUUUUGAAACCUAGUGGCGGACGGGUGAGUAACGCGUGGGUAACCUGCCCUUUUGUGGGGAACAACUUCGAGAAAUCGGAGCUAAUACCGCAUAUACUUACGGGAUCGCAUGAUUCUGUAAGGAAAGAUGGCCUCUGAAUAUGCUAUCGCAAAAGGAUGGACCCGCGUCUGAUUAGCUAGUUGGUGAGGUAACGGCUCACCAAGGCGACGAUCAGUAGCCGGCCUGAGAGGGUGAACGGCCACAUUGGGACUGAGACACGGCCCAA
This 339-nucleotide ribosomal RNA is filed under the name uncultured bacterium. RNAcentral's name for it is "bacterial SSU rRNA". It matches the Rfam family "Bacterial small subunit ribosomal RNA", at positions 28 to 334 of the family's 1533-position model. The record is from RNAcentral.